CUGCCGUGCGGCAUGCUAUACAUGCAGUCGAGCGGACAGAUGGGAGCUUGCUCCCUGAUGUUAGCGGCGGACGGGUGAGUAACACGUGGGUAACCUGCCUGUAAGACUGGGAUAACUCCGGGAAACCGGGGCUAAUACCGGAUGGUUGUUUGAACCGCAUGGUUCAAACAUAAAAGGUGGCUUCGGCUACCACUUACAGAUGGACCCGCGGCGCAUUAGCUAGUUGGUGAGGUAACGGCUCACCAAGGCAACGAUGCGUAGCCGACCUGAGAGGGUGAUCGGCCACACUGGGACUGAGACACGGCCCAGACUCCUACGGGAGGCAGCAGUAGGGAAUCUUCCGCAAUGGACGAAAGUCUGACGGAGCAACGCCGCGUGAGUGAUGAAGGUUUUCGGAUCGUAAAGCUCUGUUGUUAGGGAAGAACAAGUACCGUUCGAAUAGGGCGGUACCUUGACGGUACCUAACCAGAAAGCCACGGCUAACUACGUGCCAGCAGCCGCGGUAAUACGUAGGUGGCAAGCGUUGUCCGGAAUUAUUGGGCGUAAAGGGCUCGCAGGCGGUUUCUUAAGUCUGAUGUGAAAGCCCCCGGCUCAACCGGGGAGGGUCAUUGGAAACUGGGGAACUUGAGUGCAGAAGAGGAGAGUGGAAUUCCACGUGUAGCGGUGAAAUGCGUAGAGAUGUGGAGGAACACCAGUGGCGAAGGCGACUCUCUGGUCUGUAACUGACGCUGAGGAGCGAAAGCGUGGGGAGCGAACAGGAUUAGAUACCCUGGUAGUCCACGCCGUAAACGAUGAGUGCUAAGUGUUAAGGGGGUUUCCGCCCCUUAGUGCUGCAGCUAACGCAUUAAGCACUCCGCCUGGGGGAGUACGGUCGCAAGACUGAAACUCAAAGGAAUUGACGGGGGCCCGC
This 910-nucleotide ribosomal RNA is filed under the name Bacillus sp. (in: firmicutes). RNAcentral describes it as "bacterial SSU rRNA". It matches the Rfam family "Bacterial small subunit ribosomal RNA", at positions 36 to 924 of the family's 1533-position model. The record is from RNAcentral. Lineage: Bacteria; Bacillati; Bacillota; Bacilli; Caryophanales; Bacillaceae.